Daphnia magna is the source of this 1096-nucleotide long non-coding RNA. RefSeq lists it as uncharacterized. NCBI's taxonomy places the organism in Eukaryota, Metazoa, Arthropoda, Branchiopoda, Diplostraca, Daphniidae. The record is from RefSeq and is a predicted model, not a curated record. The transcript is spliced from 4 exons.
AAAAAAAAGAACAUAAAAGGCGCCAUCAUCUGACAGGAUGGAGAACUUGAUUGACUUAUGACGUCCGGGUGUGUUUUCCUUCGUUUCUUCCACUCGCUCCGACAUGUUGUGACGUCGUUUGUUUUCUACAGUUGGAAUUCGCAUUAUCUGGGUGAAACCGAUUGCCAGCGGGCCCUUUUUGCAACUCGUGGCUUAGCAACAAUUCCAAGUAAACGAUAUUCGUCAUACUUGGACGCAAUCAAGUGGAUCCUACAUAUUCGGCCUUCGCAGCUAAAGUUCACAGAUGACAACGGCUCUCAAAAAUCGGUCAUAUUCGUCUUUGGGGAUUCAAAUUGCUGGCUUCUAUUGUUUCCGCUACGUUUUUUGCCCGAUAGAGGCAAAAUUCCGAGAAUGAAAAUGAAGAAUUUGGCAACGUGCAAUGUUGUUGUUGCAGCCGAAAAUUUUGGCGGGAGCAAGGCCAGCUGAUGUCAAAAGUUUAUAUUUCUGAAAGAAAAUGACAAAUCCCUCGAUAUACUUGGAAAAGCCGUGUAUUUUGAAAUCUACACCACCCCAACGACGAAAUGGAUGAAAUGAAAAAUAUAAGAACCUGAAACGUUUGAGAAAUUUGUUCAGAAACUUCAGUUACAACAGCGGCUUGUUCUCGAAGGCGAGCUGCGAAUAAGAUAACGCGUUAAUUAAAAUUGAAUGAGGUAAAUAGUCCUUAAGAAUAAAUCGAAAAAAUUCACUAGACUAUGGUCAGUAGUGAAGAAAACCUGGAGCUAUGUAUGGUUUGUGAAAAGGCUGAAGAAUCCUCCGAGCUUGGUCUUGUACUCCAGUCAGAUGGAACUCGUGAUCUAACUUAAGACAAAGCUAUUUCAAGAUUUUGUGGAAUUAUCAUUCAACUACAUGAACCGCUGUUUGAGCGAUUUUGCAGAAUACCCCCAGCUUAGACCUUGAGAUAAAGCAACUUCUGGAUGAAAUCAAUUAGCUGGAUAUUCUCAGUUGGAAAGUUAAUUAAGAGCCAAGUCUGAACUGAAGGAUGAGAAAAUUGCCAAAUGUGUUAAAUUACUGAUUAUGUUCAUGGCUAAAAGAAAAUUUCACGACGCUCCUUCUUUUA